Molecule: ribosomal RNA, 497 nt
Filed under: uncultured bacterium
Lineage: Bacteria
Description: partial 16S ribosomal RNA
Rfam family: Bacterial small subunit ribosomal RNA
Source: RNAcentral
GAUGAACGCUGGCGGCGUGCCUAAUACAUGCAAGUCGAGCGAACGGACGAGAAGCUUGCUUCUCUGAUGUUAGCGGCGGACGGGUGAGUAACACGUGGAUAACCUACCUAUAAGACUGGGAUAACUUCGGGAAACCGGAGCUAAUACCGGAUGAUAUUUUGAACCGCAUGGUUCAAAAGUGAAAGACGGUCUUGCUGUCACUUAUAGAUGGAUCCGCGCUGCAUUAGCUAGUUGGUAAGGUAACGGCUUACCAAGGCAACGAUGCAGAGCCGACCUGAGAGGGGGAUCGGCCACACUGGAACUGAGACACGGUCCAGAGUCCUACGGGAGGCAGCAGUAGGGAAUCUUCCGCAAUGGGCGAAAGCCUGACGGAGCAACGCCGCGUGAGUGAUGAAGGUCUUCGGAUCGUAAAACUCUGUUAUUAGGGAAGAACAUAUGUGUAAGUAACUGUGCACAUCUUGACGGUACCUAAUCAGAAAGCCACGGCUAACUACGUG